RNAcentral lists this ribosomal RNA (550 nucleotides) under uncultured bacterium. Its description in RNAcentral is "bacterial SSU rRNA". It matches the Rfam family "Bacterial small subunit ribosomal RNA", at positions 367 to 933 of the family's 1533-position model. The record is from RNAcentral.
CGCAAUGGGCGAAAGCCUGACGGAGCAAUACCGCGUGAGGGAAGACGGCCUAUGGGUUGUAAACCUCUUUUUUCAGGGAGGAAUUUUGACGUGUACCUGAAGAAUAAGCAUCGGCUAACUCCGUGCCAGCAGCCGCGGUAAGACGGAGGAUGCAAGUGUUAUCCGGAAUCACUGGGCGUAAAGCGUCUGUAGGUGGUUAAGCAAGUCAACUGUUAAAUCUUGAGGCUCAACUUCAAAAUCGCAGUCGAAACUGCUUGACUAGAGUAUAGUAGGGGUAAAGGGAAUUUCCAGUGGAGCGGUGAAAUGCGUAGAUAUUGGAAAGAACACCGAUGGCGAAGGCACUUUACUGGGCUAUUACUGACACUCAGAGACGAAAGCUAGGGUAGCAAAUGGGAUUAGAUACCCCAGUAGUCUUAGCCGUAAACGAUGGAUACUAGAUGUUGUACAGAUCGACUGUACAUCAUUACGGUUAAAGCCCUGAGUUUUCCACCUGGGAAGUAGCGCGCCAGAGUGAAACUCAAAGGAAUUGGCGGGGGCCCGCACAAGCGGU